This 546-nucleotide ribosomal RNA is filed under the name uncultured Nitrososphaerota archaeon. RNAcentral's name for it is "uncultured thaumarchaeote partial 16S ribosomal RNA". The record is from RNAcentral. Lineage: Archaea; Thermoproteati; Nitrososphaerota.
UACAACGCACUACCUGUUCAUAGUAGUCGUUGCUGUCAACAGCACACUGCUCACCAUCAACGCAGGGGACUACAUCUUCUACACAGACUGGGCGUGGACGUCCUUCGCUGUGUUCUCGGUGGCGCAGGGUAUGAUGCUUGCGGGAGGAUAACUAUCCUAUUGCUUAUUCACCGGCGUCCCAGGAAUCGCAACUGCUUACGCCUCUAUCUGCACUAUCUACCCAGUGUGUGCAACGGGCGCAUGUGUCUCAUUGUUCUACCUCAACGACUUGCGCGGGCGACAAGACGCAACAAGCACGAUGCUAUACUGAUUGGCGGUACGCUGGUUAGCCGAUCCGUCCCGCUGUUACACCUGGUCAACCUGUUGCGUGUAAGCGACCCGCUCGAGGUGGCCUUCAAGUAUCCGAGACCGACUCUGCCCGCGUACAUGACGCCUAUAGAGCCUCAGGUAGGGAAGUUCUACAACUCGCCUGUCGCCCUGGGUUCAGGUGCCGGUGCAGUGCUAACGGUACCCAUCGCUGCGUUGGGUGCAAAACUAAACACGUGG